CGUUAAGGAACUGAGAGAAAAAAUGCCAACAUCUGCAAUAACUUAGUGUUAUAAUGUUGUAAUCAAAAACAAUGCGAUUUAUAAAUGAAAAUUUUGAGGAGGAUGAAAGAUGGCUACUGUGUUCAUGGAGGAUACUGGAUUUAAAUUAGCCAAUAUUGUUUUGUCCCAGAAAAAAUCAUUUACAUUAGACGACCUUUUGAUUCAAGCCCAAAAUAUUGGACUAGAAGAAAAUGAGGUAACAUUAAAAAGAUCUUUGAGUCGCUUGUGUGAUAUCGGAAUAAUAAUUAAGCAUGGAUCAUUAUACUCAGUAUCGCUUAAUGAUUUGUAAGCCUUAUUGGUCACAUUACAUAGUAAUGUGACCAAUAGUCAUUUUAAGAACUACUUAAUCUCAGCUAGGCGCUACCAGUCCAUCGCCCAUGUGGCAUGACUAGCCUCAACUUUAGUGGGAUACGCCGGAGGCUUCCGCCUGGAGCCGAAGGAAGAAGAUCAAUCAGGCUAGGUAACGGGUCAGCGCGUCACUCCGCGAAUCCGGUACCGAAAUUUAAAUGAGUGACUGCGCUCGGAGAUGCUCAUGUAUCGCUGUUUUCGGACGGGGGUUCGAAUCCCCCCGCCUCCACCA
Molecule: transfer-messenger RNA, 619 nt
Filed under: Brevibacillus sp. Leaf182
Lineage: Bacteria; Bacillati; Bacillota; Bacilli; Caryophanales; Paenibacillaceae
Rfam family: transfer-messenger RNA (bases 305-619)
About the family: Bacterial tmRNA, also known as 10Sa RNA or SsrA, is named for its dual tRNA and mRNA-like properties. Its role is to liberate the mRNA from a stalled ribosome.
Source: RNAcentral